Molecule: ribosomal RNA, 748 nt
Filed under: uncultured Parcubacteria group bacterium
Lineage: Bacteria
Description: bacterial SSU rRNA
Rfam family: Bacterial small subunit ribosomal RNA
Source: RNAcentral
UGAAGUCGUGGAUAAUCUGGAAAAAUCUAAGCUAAUACACGAUAUGUUCUACGGAAUAAAGAUUUAUCGCUUCAAGAGGAGCCUGUGUCCUAUCAGCUUGUUGGUGAAGUAAUAGCUCACCAAGGCUAUGACGGGUAGGGGGUAUGAGAGUAUGGCCCCCAACAUUGGAACUGAGACACUGUCCAAACACCUACGGGUGGCUGCAGUCGAGAAUAUUCCACAAUGGACGAAAGUCUGAUGGAGCGACGCCGCGUGCGGGAUGAAGGUCUUAGGAUUGUAAACCGCUUUUUUCAGGGAGCAAUUUCGAUGAGAGUACCUGAAGAAUAAGAGGUUACUAACUCUGUGCCAGCAGUAGCGGUAAUACAGAGACCUCAAGCGUUAUCCGGAUUUAUUGGGCGUAAAGGGUAGGUAGGCGGUCUGGUUAGUCGGAUGUUAAAGCUCGGAGCUUAACCCCGAAUCUGCAUUCGAAACGGCCAGACUAGAGGAUGUGAGAGAUCAGUGGAAUUGAUGGUGUAGUAGUGAAAUGCGUUGAUAUCAUCAAGAACACCCAAGGCGAAGGCAACUGAUUGGCACAUAUCUGACGCUCAACUACGAAAGCGUGGGUAGCGAAUGGGAUUAGAUACCCCAGUAGUCCACGCCCUAAACGAUGCAUACUAGGUGCAGGGAGAAUCGACCCUUUCUGUGCCGCAGCUAACGCGUUAAGUAUGCCGCCUGGGAAGUACGAUCGCAAGAUUAAAACUCAAAUGAA